RNAcentral lists this ribosomal RNA (478 nucleotides) under uncultured bacterium. Its description in RNAcentral is "bacterial SSU rRNA". It matches the Rfam family "Bacterial small subunit ribosomal RNA", at positions 338 to 830 of the family's 1533-position model. The record is from RNAcentral.
CCUACGGGAGGCAGCAGUGGGGAAUAUUGGACAAUGGGCCUCAAGCCUGAUCCAGCAAUUCUGUGUGCAGGAUGAAGGUCUACGGAUUGUAAAGUGCUUUCAGUUGGGAAGAAGAAAGUGACGGUACCAACAGAAGAAGCGACGGCUAAAUACGUGGCAGCAGCCGCGGUAAUACGUAUGUCGCAAGCGUUAUCCGGAUUUAUUGGGCGUAAAGCGCGUCUACGCGGAAUAAUAAGUCUGAUGUUUAAAUGCGGGGCUGAACUCCGUAUUGCGUUGGAAACUGUUAUUCUAGAGUACUGGAGAGGUGGGCGGAACUACAAGUGUAGAGGUGAAAUUCGUAGAUAUUUGUAGGAAUGCCGAUGGAGAAGUCAGCUCACUGGACAGAUACUGACGCUAAAGCGCGAAAGCGUGGGGAGCAAACAGGAUUAGAUACCCUGGUAGUCCACGCCGUAAACGAUGAUCACUAGGUGUUGGGGGU